This 253-nucleotide ribosomal RNA is filed under the name uncultured bacterium. RNAcentral describes it as "partial 16S ribosomal RNA". It matches the Rfam family "Bacterial small subunit ribosomal RNA", at positions 524 to 776 of the family's 1533-position model. The record is from RNAcentral.
UACGUAGGGGGCAAGCGUUGUCCGGAUUUAUUGGGCGUAAAGAGCGUGUAGGCGGCCAGAUAGGUCCGUUGUGAAAACUGGAGGCUUAACCUCCAGCUGUCGAUGGAAACCAUCUGGCUAGAGUCCGGAAGAGGAGAGUGGAAUUCCUGGUGUAGCGGUGAAAUGCGUAGAUAUCAGGAGGAACACCCGAGGCGAAGGCGGCUCUCUGGGUCGUACCUGACGCUGAGGCGCGAAAGCGUGGGGAGCGAACGGG